Molecule: ribosomal RNA, 607 nt
Filed under: uncultured Actinomycetes bacterium
Lineage: Bacteria; Bacillati; Actinomycetota; Actinomycetes
Description: bacterial SSU rRNA
Rfam family: Bacterial small subunit ribosomal RNA
Source: RNAcentral
GUGGGGUAACGGCCUACCAAGGCGACGACGGGUAGCUGGUCUGAGAGGACGACCAGCCACACUGGGACUGAGACACGGCCCAGACUCCUACGGGAGGCAGCAGUGGGGAAUCUUGCGCAAUGGGCGAAAGCCUGACGCAGCGACACCGCGUGGGGGAUGAAGGCCUUUCAGGUCGUAAACCCCUUUCGGCAGGGACGAAGCGAUCUCGUGACGGUACCUGCAGAAGAAGCCUCGGCUAACUACGUGCCAGCAGCCGCGGUAACACGUAGGAGGCGAGCGUUGUCCGGAAUCAUUGGACGUAAAGAGCGCGCAGGCGGCUUGGCAAGUCGGGUGUGAAAUCCCGGGGCUCAACCCCGUGACUGCAUCCGAUACUGUCAGGCUAGAGGUAGGUAGGGGAGAUCGGAAUUCCUGGUGUAGCGGUGAAAUGCGCAGAUAUCAGGAGGAACACCGGUGGCGAAGGCGGAUCUCUGGGCCUUACCUGACGCUCAGGCGCGAAAGCUAGGGGAGCGAACAGGAUUAGAUACCCUGGUAGUCCUAGCCGUAAACGUUGGGUGCUAGGUGUGGGCGGAUAUCAACCCCGUCCGUGCCGAAGCUAACGCAUUAAGCA